CCUACGGGCGGCAGCAGUGGGGAAUAUUGCACAAUGGGGGGAACCCUGAUGCAGCGACGCCGCGUGGGUGAGGAAGUACUUCGGUAUGUAAAGCCCUAUCGGCAGGGAAGAAGCAAGACGGUACCUGACUAAGAAGCCCCGGCUAACUACGUGCCAGCAGCCGCGGUAAUACGUAGGGGGCGAGCGUUAUCCGGAUUCACUGGGUGUAAAGGGAGCGUAGACGGCCAAGCAAGCCAGGGGUGAAAGCCCGGGGCCCAACCCCGGGACUGCCCUUGGAACUGCAUGGCUGGAGUGCGGGAGGGGCAGGCGGAAUUCCUGGUGUAGCGGUGAAAUGCGUAGAUAUCAGGAGGAACACCGGCGGCGAAGGCGGCCUGCUGGACCGCGACUGACGUUGAGGCUCGAAAGCGUGGGGAGCGAACAGGAUUAGAUACCCUUGUAGUC
Molecule: ribosomal RNA, 441 nt
Filed under: uncultured bacterium
Lineage: Bacteria
Description: partial 16S ribosomal RNA
Rfam family: Bacterial small subunit ribosomal RNA
Source: RNAcentral